AACAGACUCUGGCUGCGUAGGUAAACUCUAGCAUUUCAAGGUGAGGAGCAGGGACCUAGGAAGAAGGAAUUCCCCAAUUGUCUUUCCAGGGUGCUUCUCUUGGUUAGCUGAGCUCAAACUAUUUUCUAGUUGCUACUUUUAAGAUUUAAAUUAUAGGGAGUGAGCAACUGAGUCACCUAGCCAGAAGAUAACCACUGGGAAUUAUCGGGGAACUGUCAUUCCAACCUAAGACAUCAGGAAGCUACUGCUGGAGAAGAUGGGAUGGAUAUUUGUCAGCUGAAAGAUUGCUGGGGAAUUAUGGGAAGAUGCUGCCAUAUAUGGGCCACCUACGGGGUGUGGAAGGAGUCAAAGCCAGGGGCUUUAGGCGUCCUGUAGGUAUCUGGCAAAUAUCAAUGAGAGUGAGAGAUUGGGAAAUGGUCUCACACCAUGGAGGUUGGCCUUCAAGACCGCUCCCAGUGAUUUCUGCUUCCUGGUCUUCAUAGUCUUUUCAAGUUCCCUCUCACACUGUACUAAGGAACAUCUGGAGAGGGGUAAAAAAGUGGCUUUGGAAAGCUGUUCGACUCGCAAAACACUGAGGCUGAGCAAACAUUCCAGCUUUCCCUCGCUGGCCAUCACUCACACCCAAUGUAUUUAUUCUUUUUCUCCGACAAGAGAGCAACAUUUGGAAUAGCUCAAGCUGCUGAGUUAAUCAUCGAGACGCCAUGGGGAUGUUUUAAGCCAUAGACCUACCCUCCUCGUAUGCUUUGGAAUCCACACAAUGACCAAGCUGAGUGAGGCAAGUGUUGCAGCUUGUCUGUUGCAGGCAAAUCAUAUUUGCUACCUUUCAAAUGUCCCAUUUCUGUUUAAAGCAUCAAUGCCAAUGGAAGGAACUUGCCAGUAUUUCAAUGAGUCAUUGGGUUUAACUCAACAUUGACCCCAAAAGAUUUUUUAACUAUAAUGAGUGCGUUCUUUUCUCUUUUAUUGUGAAAUUCUACUCUUUUUUUCCAAGUACACUGGGACUCAGAAGCUGGAUUUUACCUUGUCAUUCUUGAAUUGUGGUAGAACCUUCUGAAGUCACUCUCUGUAACCAUAACUCCCUCCCUCUUUCUCAACACCUAACUCAGUGCUCUAAAAUCAGUCACACAUGGGGUACCUGGGUGGCUUAGUUGGUUGAGCAGCC
This 1159-nucleotide long non-coding RNA is filed under the name Vulpes vulpes (red fox). RNAcentral's name for it is "lncRNA (ENSVVUG00000015646.1)". The record is from RNAcentral. Lineage: Eukaryota; Metazoa; Chordata; Mammalia; Carnivora; Canidae.